CCCAAUCUCUCCCAAUUUUUGUCAGCCCCAAGCCCUAAAUUUUCAAUUCUCGUCAAUCGACGCUCAAUUAGCUUCUGCCUCCGUCUUUUUUCCCCAAUCUACGCCAUACAGCCUCACAAGGGUUCAUUUGUGUAGAGCGAGCUAAUCGCUGUUAGAUCUUUGUUUGGCUGUUCGAGGAAUCGAGAAUGUCUCGUGGUAAUCAAAGAGAUCGUGACCGAGAAAGGGCUCAAGCCAGAUCCGGCACCAAGCCCCGUAAUCCAAGAGACGAUGGAUUGACCCCCGAACAGAGACGAGAGAGGGAUGCAAAGGCGCUGCAAGAAAAAACUGCGAAAAAAGCAGCACAAGCUGUGGUUGAUGGGAAAAAAAACGCCGGAGGUGAUAAAGUUAACAAGAAAAAAUAAUUGUGGAUGAUUUAAUUAUAGGUUAGAUUGAGGGGUGUUGUUCUAUUGAUAUAUCAGAUUUCGGUUUGUGAGUUUUGAGGUUGUCUUUAUUUUUUCGUGGUGGCAAAUAAUCUUUCGAGAAUCGAUUGUUUGGUAUAUAGAUCUAUCUUCCGAAACCUGUAUCUUGUAUCUGAUUUUUCAAUGCAAUGCAAUCUUCUUUUCACUAUUUACAA
Erythranthe guttata (spotted monkey flower) is the source of this 613-nucleotide non-coding RNA. NCBI's taxonomy places the organism in Eukaryota, Viridiplantae, Streptophyta, Magnoliopsida, Lamiales, Phrymaceae. The record is from RefSeq and is a predicted model, not a curated record.